AUUUUCUUGGGCCGCUCCCACGGCAUAUGGAGGUUCCCAGGCUAGGGGUCUAAUCAGAGCUGUAGCCACCGGCCUACGCCACAGCCAUAGCAACGCGGGAUCCAAGCCACGUCUGCAACCUACACCACAGCUCACGGCAACACUGGAUCCUUAACCCACUGAGCAAGGCCAGGGAUUGAACCCUCAACCUCAUGUUCAUCCUAGACAAGUCACUUUACUCCUUUGUGCCUUAGCUUCCUCUCAGGCAAAAUGAAACUGCACACCACAUGGUUGUCAUGAGGAUUAAAUAGGUGUUCUAAAGCAGUGUAAUAUGCUUAGAAUACUGAUUGGUUCAGAAGAUGGAUACAAUAAAUCAUAGCUGUUGCUGUUCUUCCAUUUUCGCUACUACCAUAGCUAUUCUGUCUCCUAGUCUACCUGACAUCUCAACACUGCUAUUCCUUCAGGAUCCAGAACUUUCUUUGAGCUUCUCCAGUCUUCUUUACCUACAUUCUUGUCCAAUUAAUCUCACCAUUCACCAGGGUUUUAAAAAAUUUCAGUAAGGUUAUUAUUCUCCUCAAUACAUCUCUAGUCCUGACUUCCAUUCUAGACCUUUAUGUAUACCUGCUUCUUGACAUCUACAUUUAGAUGUUUAAUAGCUAUCUCAAACAUAAUAUAUCCAAAUGGAGGCCUGACUUCACCUAACAAAUCUAUUCCUCAAAACCCCAAUUUCCCCACCUCAGGUACUAAAAAAUUCACUUAAGGGUCAUUGUUGUCUUACUACCUUUCGCAUGAUCCACCAUCCACUUCACUGGCAAAUCCUAACAAUCUAAGUUCAGGAAAAUAUAUUUUGCUAAAAUAUAAGACAGCUUAUAAAGUUGUCAUUAUCUCUACUGUUACUUUCCUAGACUAAUAUGCCAUUAUCUUUCACCUGAAAUGCUAUUAUUUCCUACAAAAUAGUCUUUUUGCUAACUACAUUAGUAGUCCACUCAUUGUACCUAGAAUAGAGCUGAGCACAAUUGCUUCUAAAGUAGCACUUGUUAUAGAAAUUAAUGAAAACAAACAUGCCUCCCUCCCUUACAUAAAGAAGGCAAUUUAUUUAAAAACUUUAAAUUGAUUCUGUCAAAUUUUUUAAAAAAAAUAUUUAUUUAAAAUCAUCUCCAUUCUCAAAUUGGGCGAUAGUAAAUUCAAGAAUGCUAUGACACUAGCUUUAUAAAUAAAACAGUUUCUUUAUCCAUGUUGACUCCAGGUCUUUUUUCUAAAACUAGCAUUAAGCCUGCAUUAAAGGAGUUCUUGUAAAAGACGUAUUAACAUUCCUUAAUUACUCCACAAGAAAUAGCCUGAUAAAAAGAAAAAGCAAUAGUCAUCUCAGCAGCAAAAAGUAAAAGCAAUUAUUUUUCUUUUGAAGUACCUUACUGGAAGGUGACAAGUGUAUAAGAUCAGGCAGAGGAGUCACGGUACUUAUCCCAAUAUGACAAUUCAUUGGUGACAGCAAAAACCUGCAGAGAGUUUCAUCAUGUGGUCAUCAAGUCCUGCCAAAGAAGCAAUAAUCUCUAAAAGAAUACUAGCAGAGAGGUUUAGGGAAACCUGUGAGCCAAGAAGAAUAGUGUUUUGACAAGGGGCGUAGAAAUUUAUUGGGAAAGUUAGCGUGAGGGUAAAAACUGAUUCUCAAAAGGGACAAAGUAAAUAUUCAUCUCGGGCAAAAGUUUAUCAAAAGGAAAAGGGAUAGGGGAUACGUGAGAAAAUAAAUUGUUUACAUCAACACAGGGUAUCUGAAAGUCUUGAUGCCUUUCAAAAUGAGCUGCACAUAUUUUUUAAUUGUUUGAAUUAAGGUUAGGAAACAAAUUUAAUUGUGAACUACCUCCAAACUGACGAAAAGAAACCACAGAAAGGGAAGCAAAAGUUACACAACAUGCUGAAAUUCAUGUGCCAUUGAUUAUUAAUAAUUUUGCCUUAGUUGAUGACAGUGAUGGAUUAGAAAGUUGUCUUCCUUUAGAUAGGCAUCUUUGAUUCAGAAUGUAAAAAUAUAAAAAAUAGAUACUUUUGAUUAUGAUAUCAUUUGUCAACUUCUGGGAGUGAAUUAACAUAAUUGCAUCUUGCUCAUAGAUAGGGGUAUUUUUGAGUAGGAUUGCAUUAACAAUAAUAAGUAAGUAGAACAUUGAAAGCUGGGUAUUGAUCAUUAUGAUUUACUGUAAACGGCAAUUUAGAGGUGUAUAGUUGGAGCCACAAUUUGCAUUAGAAAAUAAAUGCAAUGUGGGAAAAGCUGGAAAAAAAGGAUUUUAUGAUUGCAACUGAGGUUCUCUUCCUUUCCCUGCAAUAACAGCAAUGCAGACAAAAAUUGCCAGAGAAUGGGGAUCAAGCGAGGCAUUAGAUUUUAAGUGAGAACUGAAUCAUUAAUAAAACAUCGCAAUUUCUAACUUUUCUCAAGUGCAACAGACCCAUCAAUUUUGGUUUAUUAAGAAUGUGGAAAGGUCUGAGGCUAUCAAAUACUUGGACUUAAAUUUGUAAUUCUAAUAAACUACCCAUGUAAUGUAAAUUUAUGUUUUUAAUCAGCUUUGCUAUGGCAUUUGGUACUUUAAGCCACUCAAUCUGUUUAUAAAAAUUAAACAAAAAAAUUACAUUUAUAGUAUUUUUAUUAAAUAACCUUUGUGGUAAACAGCUUCAGAAAAUAAAACAACUGCCAUAAGUUUCCAUGCUAAACAGAUGUACCUGUUUAAUUUAAAUUCAUUUAUGUAAAAAAGUACCUUUAUACAUGUCUUUAAUUUUUCACAUAAUUAUGUUUCCGUAUUGGGGAAUCUUUGCAGAAAGUGUUUUAUGCAAAAAAUCUAAACACCAUAUGUAACCAAAUCAAAAGCCCAAUUUUUUUUUGGCUCUUACAUUUAAAGAGAGAUUUGGCUUUAAGUUCAGUAUAUUUAUGAUAUAUCUGCAAUCACAUUGAAAAUACUUUCCACAUAAGCUGAGUAGUACAUUUUCCAGAAUGUAAUUCAUAUAUUAGGAUUCAAAAUCUGUUUUGAAAAGUCUAUGAUAAGAACUUUUCCCUAGUUUCAUUCAUUUACACAAUUUAUAUGCCAUGGAUAAUCAAGUGCUGUAUUCACAGUUCAAUUACAAUUGGUAGGACAUCAUAGUAGCUACACUAUAACAACUUUUCCUUGAAGUAGGAAAUGUGGUAUACCACAAUAUUGUUAUCUCUGAAAUAGCUCACCUUUUUGAACUUACAUUAAUUGAAUUUGAGCAAGAAAGGCAAGCCCUUAUGACCCACAACUUGUUACAAUGUAUUUAUUAUUACCAAGUCUAAUGACAAAAGUGAAGGAUACUUUUCUCCUUUCUUCCAAGUAUAUCCCCAUUCUUCACCUAUUUGUUUACUACAGCUAGGUUAGAUGUUUUCAUCCAGUAACAGUUCAGUAACACUUAUUUUUCCUAAAAUACUAAAAUAACACUUACACAGUAAUAGUCAUAAAUUAUUUUUCCAGGGUAUAACUUCCAGGAGGCGGGCUCAUAUACAGACAGGGUACAGGGUACAGCUUAGUUAGAGGAUGUUCCAUAACAGUGGACUGCGAAAAUAAUGGCCAGCUGAUGAUCCUAUAACAGAUCGAAGUGAUUUGCAAAAGAUAAUGAAAUUUAAGUUACUCAUUGAAAUUCAUCCAGUGAAUAAAGAAAUAAUUGUUUCACAGAGAAAUUAAGUGUUAUUCCUUAUAACAUGCUGCUUAACUCUACCUCUUUUUGUUUCUACUUUAAUUAGACUUCAUGCUUUUUUUGGUACUUAAUCCCAUAACAUGCACAGCUCAAAGAGACUAAUAUGAUCUGUUAGUAAUAACAAGUGAGAUAUCUCAAGAUGGAGUCUUAAGUGGCUUGCAUUGAAAAUGACAGUAUUUUUCUU
RNAcentral lists this long non-coding RNA (3853 nucleotides) under Sus scrofa (pig). RNAcentral's name for it is "lncRNA (ENSSSCG00065035982.1)". Lineage: Eukaryota; Metazoa; Chordata; Mammalia; Artiodactyla; Suidae. The record is from RNAcentral.